Molecule: long non-coding RNA, 407 nt
Organism: Pistacia vera
Lineage: Eukaryota; Viridiplantae; Streptophyta; Magnoliopsida; Sapindales; Anacardiaceae
Exons: 2
Source: RefSeq, a predicted model, not a curated record
AUAAGGCUAGUGUUACGCAUUUCAGAUACUAAAUUCUACUACUCUUGUCUCCUGAGAUUUCUAUUGCCUCGUCUCUCUUUUCUAAAUUUUUUCAUUUGGUUAAAUCAAAUUUUAAACAAGUUCAUAUAAAUUAAUAGUCCAUCCCAAACCAAAAUUACAAACUUUCUUUAAUAUUUGACUUAAAACUGACUAGAUUCCCAAGAUUCUUCAAUUGAUAAAACCAAAACUCCUUUUUUGUUUUCUGAAGAUGAAUCCGAACUUGAACAUGUUACAACUUCAACGCUUGUAUUUGAACGCCAAAACCUUCUCUGUUAAAUCUCCAAACCAUAACAUUCCAGUCUUCCCUCGAAAUCUCUCAUACUCUUCUUCUUCAGGAUUCCCAGUUCGUUUUGACUCGAUUUCUGAGU